Molecule: long non-coding RNA, 4685 nt
Organism: Passer domesticus (house sparrow)
Lineage: Eukaryota; Metazoa; Chordata; Aves; Passeriformes; Passeridae
Exons: 3
Source: RefSeq, a predicted model, not a curated record
CCUCCUCCUGUCACGGGGCCUUCGCUCACAGCUCCCGCUCUAAACUUCCUGCACUUUGUCUGCUUAAAGCAGAGCCAGAGCACAGCUCUGGGGAUGGGGCCGGUGAGAGUGAUUUGUCUGAUUUCAAAGCUUUUGCUUGAAGGAUUUUGGUAUUUUUUACUUUUUUUUAGAGGUUGAUUUAAAUAGGCAUUUUGAAAAUACAGGUAAUAGCACUUCCUAAACGUGCAAUUUUCUCAAAAUGGUAGACCAUUUAUGUAUGAUACAAACCUAUAUCUGACAUGUUUUCCACAUAAUUUCCAAAUUUUCAUCAAUCUUUUUGUUUUGUUGGAGCUCAUACAUCUUAACAUGCCCACAUAAGUUAAUAGAUUUCUGUAUUAUUAUUAUUUACUAUUCAGUAGCAUGGCUAUUACCCUAAAGGAGAAGACACAAUGAAACAUCAACAGUUAUUUCAUCUCGUAAGAAUACCAAUGCAAUUUAAAACCUUAGGUCCUGCAUUAGGAACACAUCAAUACUUGGGAGAGCAGUUAACACAUUUUACCUUUAGGUAUGUUCUCACACCCUUCUGAAACCAAAGCUACUUAAGUACAGAAUCAAAAUAGGGAAGGGGAGGUUUUGUAAGAAUAAACUUCAAAAUAUAAUCAUAGAAUCAAGGGUGGAAAAGAUCUCCAAGAAUCCAACUAUUAACUCAGCACAACUGUGUUUACCACUAAGCCAUGUCCCCAAGUGCCACAUCCACAUGUUUUUGAACACUUCUAGGGAUGGUGAUCCCAUAACUUCCCUGGGAAGCUGGGGAGGUAGGCUUGCAGUGCUUGAUUAUCCUUUCAGUGAAAAAUACCCAAACUGCUUUCCUGCAGCUGCAACCUAAAGGAUAUUUCUGCCUUAGGAUUUGUUAUUUCACCAUCACCAAAAUGUUCUUUCUUUUUUUUUAUUGAAUAAUAAAAAAAAUGUGGUCUAUUGGGGGGGAGGGGGUAGAAUUUAAUGAGAUUCUGUUUUCAAAUGAAGUGAGAGGGUGGAUUUUAGAUGGGCAAAUAUAACUAUCCAAAGAGGCUAAGCAGAAAAGGAUUAAUAUCCCUAUACUUAAAGAAAUACAUACUCAAGAGUUCAAUACAAUAUUUUUCCACAGUACUGAAGCUCUAAUGGUACCAUUUUAAGCUCUAUCACUCCUGCAAUACCAGCUCAGGAGGCCUAGUAUAGACACAAUGAUGAUUUCAUUGUAAUGUCUAUAUCUUGAUAUAGCAUGACAGUAAUAUCUAUCACUAGGAUAUGAGAAAAGGGGGAAGUACACAAAAUCUGAUAAAUUCACCUCUCAAAUUUCAGAAAUUAUUACUGAAAGCAUUUCUUGCAAUAUUUAAGUGUUUUCCAGAAACGCUCAGCCUCUCAUACCAAGCCAGUCCUGUUCCUGUUCAAUCGUGUGCUCAGUCUGACAGGAUGAGAUACCAGAAUGAUUCCCACUACCUCCAGUAUGAAAUGCAACAUGCACAGUGUGGAAAGGUGGCUCUCAUGUUUAUGAAUGAGCACACCUUGGCAGAAUCAGGCUCACCUCCAGCACUUUAAUCUUUCUACACAUGUAAUUAGCACUAUCAGCCUAGUAUUUUCCUAAAUGAUGCCUCUGCAUUUUGAGGACCGCAAUUUUUAUUCUCAGCAUUCAUGCACGUGGAGGAGCUACAGCUAUUAGGAGCUGAUUUCAGAGGAUCUUUGUUGCAGCCAGCAAGAGCAACUCUUUCUGCAGCAAGGCAGAAUCUGCAGAUGUUCUUCAAGGAAAAUGAGAAUCAAGCCUUUUAACUGUGAGAAAUUAAUGGCUAUUCUCUGUUCUGCUUUAGGAACAAGCCUACUGGAAAGCUCAUCAGUGGAAGCUGCAGGUGCACAUCCCCCCUGAAGAUGUUAACCUAGAAGAAAAGCCAUGAUCCCCCUGAGAUAAAUACAAUGUGAUAAUUAUAGGAAGGCUUCUAAAUAGUAAAGGAGGAAAGUUCUGGUACAAUCUUCUAGUAGGAAAGCAGAAAUUUUACCAUAAAUUUUAGAUUAAGCUGUAUUGGUUCAUCAAAAUGCCGUGAUUCUCUUUGACAGCAGAGGACUGUUGCCCUAGAGAUCUCCUCCAGUCUCAAAUUCCCGUAUUCAUUGGAAAACAUCUACUGACAUCAUUGUAGAUGGGAGCUAAAUUUGUCCUGAAUUUGACUGGAAAUUUGUCUCUUCAGAUACUGAGGUCAGAUUUGGAAAUACAUCCUUAAUCUCUCCUGCUUCUUUAGUCAUUAAAUAGGUAUGCCAAUUGUGUACUACACUAGACAAAACCUUUGUAUGUACAUUUGCAAAAAAAAAAAACCAACAGUCAUAGGGACAAAAGAUUGCCAUCUCUCUUUACUGUGCGUAGACACUGUGCCAUUUGAACACAAAACAAAGUACAUAGCAGAGGAUGUUUGUGAAAAAAGAGGCAGUCAUUGACUGAAGAGAAAUCUCUGGCAGUCUAGUUCAGGUUCUCAGACAGCUCUAACGAAAUCAAGGGUAGAUAUCUUUAUCAUUAAGCAAUAAAGCUCCAAGGGAAAAGAAUAUACUUGUGAAUACCAUCUCUCUAACCAUCUCUGAUAAAUUAACUGUGUUAAUCCUUUUUCCCACUCCUUUUUUCCACCCAUCCUUUUUUUUUUUUUUUAGGUGACUACGCCCUUUCACCUGCUUCACCCUCACUCUUGCCAGCUUCAGUACUUGGAGCAAUUCAGAGAGCCCUGCCAGCAAACCUCACGCUCCACUUACUGCAGUGCUGCCCCACCUCCCAUCUGCUGCUCCUCAGCCUGUGUGAAGAGACUGGGAUUGGCAAGGAAGCAGGUGAAACACUCCGAGAGGGCAGACAGAGGGAAUCAGCAGGUUCCCAGCUGGUAGCAGGCGGAAUAGGACUUUUCUCCCACGAGACCUGAGCAACCCAUAGCUAGAUGGAGUUGCCCUGCAGUCACUAUUCAUUUUCCAGAGACAUCAAAGGUAUAGCAUGCUACAUUUUGCACUGCUUCUUCAAAAAAGAGUAAGAUGCUAUUGAAAAAUCUAGUAAAUUGACUGCAUUUUCAUGAUAAAAAUUAUAAUUGCUACUGAAGUGGUGUUUAAUAAUUUUAAACAAAGCUCUGAGGCAUUCUAAGAAAAGAAAUAUAGGACAAAGGAUUCUUCUGUAAUAUAAUGCAAACCCCUCACUCAAUAAUAUGUUAGUGAAAUUUAUGUAAUUAAUUAGUGGAAGUUAAGGAACAUUUAAAUAUGCUGUGCCUUUGGCUGUCAUAGGGAAAUAUUCUGGUCAAUGAAUGCAAUAAAAUUACUUAAGGAACAGUAAGGAUUUUUUUUCUUUAAAAAAGCAUGAAAAAUUAUCUAUUGAAAAAUUACAUCUAAAAAAUGAAGAAUAAGUACCUGGUAUGUGGUUGUUGUGUCUGAGGUCACUGUCAUUUAGAAGCUCACUGGUUCAUUGCAAUUAAAAAUGAAAAGCUUUUCAUUAAUACUCAUAUUUAGGGAGGUAAAUAGCUGCAUUGCUGGCUCGAAACCAAACCAGGCUUUACACAAGUGGUUCUUGAGAUCACAGCAGCAAAGUACAAUAUAUACUUAAUGUAUAUGUUGAUAGCAACCACACACAACAUUUCACAGAAAGUCACAUUUGCCUAAAUCUUCUAGGGCACUACAACCAAGGAGAAUUUUUUUCCUAUGAUCUUGAAUUACAAACAUAUAGAUAUUUUGCCAAAUUUUAUUUUCCAGUCAAAUUACUAGAAAACAACAGCAAAAAGUUACAAUAUAUGAAGGAAAACGAAAAAUGUCUGAGUCCCAUUGGAAAAGCCUAUCAAUCACAUCAGUUUGGGUAGGAAUUUCAGGUAGGACAAGUGUCCUAGCCUUUUGCUGGGGCAACUAACCAUUUCAGCUAAAAUCAUAAAACCUUCUGGAAUGUCAAGGUGCAUGAAGAAAAUUUAGAUAUGAAUCAUGUUUAUUUAACUUUUUUUAAAAGGUAGCAAUAACUCCUUUGCACUCUUUGGCAGCCUCUAGGGCUGCUUACAAGUUACACCUGUAACUCCCAUUAGGUUAAUGAGAUUAUACCUACUCAUUAACCUCUAGUGUAUUAAUGGCUAAUUAUGUGUCUUAUUAUUUAAAAGUUGAUGCCCCAUACAGGUUGUGUGGGGAUAGGAUGGCUGAAUAUAAGUGAAGGUUUAGGUGUGUGAAAUGAAAGGUAAAGCUGUAUCUACAAAGGGUUCUUAGAGGUUAAAUAUUUCAUAUUAGGAGGAUAUUUAUUACAUUGUAUAUAGAUUAAAUGAAUGUGAAGGUGGAAUAAAGACAAAGCACUGAUAUUGUAACUUGCAGCAGGCAUUUGCUUCAAAGAUGCUCUUGGUCUCAGGGUGAAUUUCUUUAGUGCUAGUUUCAGCCUCUCCUUAGAGCACUCAUAUGUACCCUAUAGCAUGCAAAAGCACGUGUCCAAAAAAAAAUCUAUUCCUGGCUUGUCUUCUGAGACAGUAUUAAAUUCAGGUUAUUUUGACUGAAUUUUGCAAAAUUUGUAGCUACAGUCCUUUCUCAGAAAAGAGGUGUUAAAAUGUGCUGAGUAACAUACAGCUAUUUUACCCAAUUAUGUUGUGUAGGGGUAAGAUAGGAAUAUAUUUUAAAUAUAUUUAUUUAUUUCAAGAAGCAAUACUAUUUACCCAUUUAAAUUACAUAUAACAAUGUUUUAAUGUGAAGUAUUUUGA